This 295-nucleotide long non-coding RNA is filed under the name Homo sapiens (human). RNAcentral describes it as "non-protein coding lnc-ZEB2-1:3". Lineage: Eukaryota; Metazoa; Chordata; Mammalia; Primates; Hominidae. The record is from RNAcentral.
CGGCGGGCGGGGAGCAGGCGAGCGAGCCAGGCUCAACUCCGAAUGGAUUGGAUUGCGAGUCUGCACGUGAGAAAACCGUUUGGCUUGGCUUGGACCCCUGCCGCCCCCCACCUCCUCCACACACACCCAGUCCAGGGGUCCCCUUUAUCACCCUUUGCUUGCAACUCCAAAAGAAGUUGCCCACCUCCUGAGUCACAACACAAGGUCGAAUAAUUCCUCUAGAUGAAAGAUCAGUUUCAUUUCAAAACGAGAAUAGGUUCCUUUUUUUAUUUUCUCCACAUGGUACAAAAUAAAC